RNAcentral lists this ribosomal RNA (253 nucleotides) under uncultured bacterium. Its description in RNAcentral is "partial 16S ribosomal RNA". It matches the Rfam family "Bacterial small subunit ribosomal RNA", at positions 524 to 776 of the family's 1533-position model. The record is from RNAcentral.
UACGUAGGGGGCUAGCGUUGUCCGGAAUCAUUGGGCGUAAAGCGCGUGUAGGCGGCCCGGUAAGUCCGCUCUGAAAGUCGGGGGCUCAACCCUCGGAUGCGGGUGGAUACUGUCGGGCUUGAGUGCGGAAGAGGCGAGUGGAAUUCCUGGUGUAGCGGUGAAAUGCGCAGAUAUCAGGAGGAACACCAAUUGCGAAGGCAGCUCGCUGGGACGUUACUGACGCUGAGACGCGAAAGCGUGGGGAGCGAAUGGG